Molecule: ribosomal RNA, 569 nt
Filed under: Cladophialophora minourae
Lineage: Eukaryota; Fungi; Ascomycota; Eurotiomycetes; Chaetothyriales; Herpotrichiellaceae
Description: eukaryotic LSU rRNA
Rfam family: 5.8S ribosomal RNA (bases 213-367)
Source: RNAcentral
AUCAUUAACGAGUUAGGGUCUUCUAGGCCCGACCUCCCAACCCUUUGAUUACUAGACCUCUGUUGCUUCGGCGGACCCGUCCCAUAAAGACCGCCGGAGGACCGCCCAACCAGGCGGUCCUUUGGCCAGUGUUCGCCGACAGCCUCAUCAUCCCAAUUCUGGAAUAAUCGUGACAAUACUGUCUAAGUGAAUUUAUUCAAUUCAAAAGCAAAAACUUUCAACAACGGAUCUCUUGGUUCUGGCAUCGAUGAAGAACGCAGCGAAAUGCGAUAAGUAAUGCGAAUUGCAGAAUUCCAGUGAGUCAUCGAAUCUUUGAACGCACAUUGCGCCCUUUGGUAUUCCGAAGGGCGUGCCUGUUCGAGCGUCAUUAUCACCCCCCCUCAAGCCUCGUGCUUGGUGUUGGACGACUUGGCAGAAGGGGUACACCCUUCCGCCCGUCCUAAAGACAAUGACGGCAGCCUCGUGGAGCCCCCGGUACACUGAGCUUCUUGACUGAGCACGUAUCGGAUCAAGGGCGCCCCGGGCACGGUCCUCUCCCCCCUUACGGGGAAAUUCUCUCAAGGUUGACC